CUUGUGUUUCUCGGCACAGUCGCAGAGUGAGCGGCAAGACGGAUGGCACCAUGGCAACCACGGACACAACCUAGGGACUGGAGUUGCGCGUUUCUACGUAAGAGCCGGAGCUGCCGCUCAAGUCCCUGUGGUGUUGGAACUCCCACAUCGUGGCAGAGUAAGAGGCCCCGGGGAACCCCGUAGGAACCCCGGGAGAGGGCGGACACCCCUGCUGUAGAAAGCUGCUCUGCCCGAGCCUGGACCCAGCUGCUACAUUUACCCGAAUAACAGACAGGGGCACUUGAUUAGCUGUCUUGUGGGACCUGGACCCCCACAGGACUCAGACCUUUUCAGUAUCGUUCUCGUUUCCCUGUGUCCCAUCUGGUUCCAUAAUUUUCAUAAAUUUAAAAAUCAUC
RNAcentral lists this non-coding RNA (395 nucleotides) under Pongo abelii (Sumatran orangutan). The record is from RNAcentral. Lineage: Eukaryota; Metazoa; Chordata; Mammalia; Primates; Hominidae.